This is a long non-coding RNA of Crotalus tigris (Tiger rattlesnake), 427 nucleotides long. RefSeq lists it as uncharacterized. The transcript has 3 exons. The record is from RefSeq and is a predicted model, not a curated record. Lineage: Eukaryota; Metazoa; Chordata; Lepidosauria; Squamata; Viperidae.
AUAAGAUCCGAUUAUUUGCUCCUGGUGCAUUAAGAAGGAUGCCGUGUGAGAGGCCUCCUUCCAUGGGGGCAGCUCUCUAUGGGCAGAUCGCGCUUUCAUACUAAGCAUUCCAACACAGUCCUUUCAACUGAAAAGCAGGCAUUGGAUUAUCUUGCAGACUGUGAUAGCCUACCCAAUACAGCUUCCUCCAGAAUUUUUGGAAUACAACUCCCAGGAAUUAUGGUAUUUGGGAAUUCUGGGAGUGAUAGUUCUACUACACGAAGGAGUAGACUCUGGCAUCUUUGAAGAAGUGCCUCCUUGGCUGUCCACACUUUCCAAUCUGAAAAAGCUCAGUGGGAGGAGCUUCCUCUUGGUGCCUUCAUCUGGAGAGCUGGACUGAAAUUUGAGAAGCCAAGGAAGCUGCAAAUUGCCGAAGAGAGGAUUGUAG